This 199-nucleotide long non-coding RNA is filed under the name Elaeis guineensis (African oil palm). Its description in RNAcentral is "long non-coding RNA (EGUI_LNC024306)". The record is from RNAcentral. Lineage: Eukaryota; Viridiplantae; Streptophyta; Magnoliopsida; Arecales; Arecaceae.
GAUCAGACUCCGAAUGGAUUUCUGGCCGUUGGAUUGAGCUCAGAUUUUUUCUUUUCAAUCGAUAAUGAACAGCAGCCAUCUGAUCUCCUUCAGAAUCGAUAUCAGCCAUUGGAUUGAGAAAAGUUUCUUUCGCCCACUUGUGAACCACAUCGUGCACCGCAAAAUAUUCUCGGUGGACCGUGCCAUUGCAUUCGUGGAU